ACCAUGCAAGUCGAGCGGAUGAAGGGAGCUUGCUCCUGGAUUCAGCGGCGGACGGGUGAGUAAUGCCUAGGAAUCUGCCUGGUAGUGGGGGAUAACGUUCCGAAAGGAACGCUAAUACCGCGUACGUCCUACGGGAGAAAGCAGGGGACCUUCGGGCCUUGCGCUAUCAGAUGAGCCUAGGUCGGAUUAGCUAGUUGGUGAGGUAAUGGCUCACCAAGGCGACGAUCCGUAACUGGUCUGAGAGGAUGAUCAGUCACACUGGAACUGAGACACGGUCCAGACUCCUACGGGAGGCAGCAGUGGGGAAUAUUGGACAAUGGGCGAAAGCCUGAUCCAGCCAUGCCGCGUGUGUGAAGAAGGUCUUCGGAUUGUAAAGCACUUUAAGUUGGGAGGAAGGGCUGUAGGCUAAUAUCCUGCGGUUUUGACGUUACCAACAGAAUAAGCACCGGCUAACUUCGUGCCAGCAGCCGCGGUAAUACGAAGGGUGCAAGCGUUAAUCGGAAUUACUGGGCGUAAAGCGCGCGUAGGUGGUUCGUUAAGUUGGAUGUGAAAGCCCCGGGCUCAACCUGGGAACUGCAUCCAAAACUGGCGAGCUAGAGUACGGUAGAGGGUAGUGGAAUUUCCUGUGUAGCGGUGAAAUGCGUAGAUAUAGGAAGGAACACCAGUGGCGAAGGCGACUACCUGGACUGAUACUGACACUGAGGUGCGAAAGCGUGGGGAGCAAACAGGAUUAGAUACCCUGGUAGUCCACGCCGUAAACGAUGUCAACUAGCCGUUGGAAUCCUUGAGAUUUUAGUGGC
This 800-nucleotide ribosomal RNA is filed under the name Pseudomonas sp. RNAcentral's name for it is "bacterial SSU rRNA". It matches the Rfam family "Bacterial small subunit ribosomal RNA", at positions 53 to 847 of the family's 1533-position model. Lineage: Bacteria; Pseudomonadati; Pseudomonadota; Gammaproteobacteria; Pseudomonadales; Pseudomonadaceae. The record is from RNAcentral.